AUGUUUACAAGGACGAAGGGAAGUUCUCCGGGGUGGCCCAACCACACACGGCGUCCGCCCCCGAGAAAUAGAGCAUGCUUCGCUAAGUCAUCCUCCGCAAGUGCAAGUCCUUCUCUGAUCGCUAUGGCUUCUAGCGUCUCCGGAUCCCCGAUGUGCCUCGCCGCCGCCCGGCUGGAUAUGGACGAGGCCCAUAGAAAAUACUACCCAGUGACGGCCCAGGUUAUACGUCGUUCGGCCCUGUACCCAUCGCGCUCCCGUGAACGAGAUGGACACGGACCUGGUCUCUUCUUCUGCUUCUACCGGCGAAACGCGACGGCGGCCGAGAUCCGCGCCGCGCAGCCUCGCCGCCGCCGGCGCGGCAACUCCGCGGGUGGUGAGGCGGACGCGCACCUCCACAACGACCCGGGCGAUGCCGCCGUCCCGGCGCUCCUCGACUCCCGCUUCGACGGCGACAAGUUCGACGCGCCUAAGCACCUUCUCGCCCUCAUCUCUCCACGCAGAAAGUGCAAGGGGCUGCCAUGUGUUCCUUGUGCAGACAUCAUGUCCUCCAGCCUCAUGGAGCUACUCAUCAUGAUUGAUGCGUGUAUAAGAUCAUCUGCUAAGAAGAUUACUGCAGUUAUCCCUUAUUUCGGUUAUGCCAGGGCUGAAAGGAAGGUAAUGACAAAACCUAAUAUGAUUACGGAAGCUGGUGCAAACCGUGUCCUUGUUUGUGAUCUUCAUUCAAGUCAGGCCACGGGAUAUUUUGGCAUCCCAGUAGAUCAUGUUUAUGGCCAGCAGGAACUAUUGCCAAAGAAGAUGAGCUGCUGCAUCAAGGAGCAAGAGAAGUCUAUGCAUGUUGUACACAUGCUGUUUAGACCUAUCACCAAAAGACCUUCAAGAUGCAAAAGUUUGCAUCUUCAAUUGUACAAAGUGCAACUUAGUCAGAGUUUCUCCUCUCUCAAGCUUAAGCCUUUCUUUGAACCGAACCUAUCCCAAGAAACCCAGCCUAGCUAUCAAGGAUGUGAUCGUGAUUUUGAACCAAAUUUUAGGGAGCAUUAUGAGAUUUUAGGUGGAUUUAGUUACGUGAUUGUGCUCUUCAAGAUACUCCAUGCAGCCAGGAAAACAACCUCAAAGAAGAAAGGUGAUUGUCAUCUUGAAGCAAAUUUGAUGAUGGAUUAUGAGGUUUUGAUGGAUUUAGUUAGGUUGUGGGUCACGCGCUUGAUUAAGCACCCUAGGUUCUCCUACUGUGCGCCCUUGGCCCCGGCUUUAGGUAGCGCCUUGUCCUCGGCUCGUCCCGUGCAUAAUCCAGGUACGCGUCGACUGUCCGAGCUCUUGCUCACCAUUGGUGGUGCUCGAGCGUGCGGUUAUGGUGUCGCACAACAAGGGAACACGGGAUGUGGGAUUGAGACAGCACCCAUAGCAACCCGCAGCAAGGCAAAGGGUGCCCAUCCAGACUGGCAGUGA
RNAcentral lists this ribosomal RNA (1443 nucleotides) under Triticum aestivum (bread wheat). Its description in RNAcentral is "partial small subunit ribosomal RNA". The record is from RNAcentral. Lineage: Eukaryota; Viridiplantae; Streptophyta; Magnoliopsida; Poales; Poaceae.